UCCCUAGUGGCUGAGACAGUAAAGCACCUGCCUACAAUGCAGGAGACCCGGGUUCAACCCCUUGGUCGGGAA
This 72-nucleotide transfer RNA is filed under the name Ovis aries (sheep). It matches the Rfam family "tRNA". Rfam says of the family: Transfer RNA (tRNA) molecules are approximately 80 nucleotides in length. Their secondary structure includes four short double-helical elements and three loops (D, anti-codon, and T loops). The record is from Rfam by way of RNAcentral. Lineage: Eukaryota; Metazoa; Chordata; Mammalia; Artiodactyla; Bovidae.